Non-coding RNA from Rattus norvegicus (Norway rat), 585 nucleotides. NCBI's taxonomy places the organism in Eukaryota, Metazoa, Chordata, Mammalia, Rodentia, Muridae. The record is from RefSeq and is a predicted model, not a curated record.
GAACUCUAAAGGUAUUUCUGCUCUCUUUGUCACUGGGAUGUUUUGUGGUCCUCCUCUUACAGCUUUCCUACCUUUUCUCUCAAUUGUCAGGGAAACAGAGUUUGCUUUGUUAUGAUUGUAAGACAACCUAUUGUUGCCCUUUAAAUCUGUGGUGGAUAACUAGGCCUUUGUCACAGAAUCGAAAUUCCAUGCUUCGUGGACUUGAACAUAAGGGAAUGAACAGUUUAGAAGCCAAACUCUGAAAAGCAAUGGGCAAAGCUGCAAAAGACAGGCAGAAAUCUGCCAGUUGGUAUCUGACUCGAAAAAUCGCAAUAGUCACAUCUGGACAUGUACGCUGUCAACACCUACACUGGGGUCCUGAGUACCGGCUUGUGUUCCCUGCAUGCAAGACUGAACUAACAAAACAAGGGUGCUGUUGAUUUGCAAGACUCUGAUUUGUUCCGUUCAAGAGCAUGCACCUAGCAGCAGAUGCAGCAGACUCAGCAGAUGGCCUGAAUCCCUGCACCUUACAGAGAACUAAACUGCUAGUGUGGAAACCAGCUGCCUUAGCAGGAUGAGAUAAAUAAAAUGAAAAGUCCCCUCCAA